CGUGGCACACGGCUCAGUAACACGUAGUCAACAUAACCAGAGGACGUGGAUAAACUCGGGAAACUGAGGCUAAACCGCGAUAGACCAAGAUACCUGGAAUGGUUUUUGAUCAAAAUCUAUAUGGCCUUUGGAUUGGACUGCGACCGAUCAGGCUGUUGGUGAGGUAAUGGCCCACCAAACCUGUAACCGGUACGGGCUCUGAGAGGAGGAGCCCGGAGAUGGGUACUGAGAAAAGGACCCAGGCCCUAUGGGGCGCAGCAGGCGCGAAACCUCUGCAAUAGGCGAAAGCCUGACAGGGUUAUUCUGAGUGACUUUCGCUAAGAAAGUCUUUUGACAUCUCUAAAAAUGGUGUAGAAUAAGGGGUGGGCAAGUCUGGUGUCAGCCGCCGCGGUAAUACCAGCACCCCGAGUGGUCGGGACGAUUAUUGGGCCUAAAGCAUCCGUAGCCGGUUUUACAAGUCCUCCGUUAAAUCCAACUGCUUAACAGAUGGGCCGCGGAGGAUACUAUAAGACUAGGAGGCAGGAGAGGCAAGCGGUACUCAGUGGGUAGGGGUAAAAUCCGUUGAUCCAUUGAAGACCACCAGUGGCGAAGGCGGCUUGCCAGAAUGCGCUCGACGGUGAGGGAUGAAAGCUGGGGGAGCAAACCGGAUUAGAUACCCGGGUAGUCCCAGCUGUAAACGAUGCAGACUCGGUGAUGGACUAGCUUAAUGCU
RNAcentral lists this ribosomal RNA (711 nucleotides) under uncultured archaeon. RNAcentral describes it as "bacterial SSU rRNA". It matches the Rfam family "Archaeal small subunit ribosomal RNA", at positions 77 to 791 of the family's 1478-position model. The record is from RNAcentral.